ACUUCACCAGGCCCAGGAGCUGGUAUCAGGCACAACCCAUUGCCCACAACACCUAGUCUCACCACACCCCCAAGGGUAACCAGCAGUGAUAAACUUUGCGCAUAAGCGACAGCUUGACUCAGCUAGAGAAAAGAGAGCCGGCUAACCCGGUGCCAGCCGCCGCGGCUAUACCAUGGGGCUCAAGUUGAUAACCACCGGCGUUAAGCGUGAUUAAAGCUUACAUAAGUUAGGGUUAAACCAAUACUUAGUAGUGAUAAGCUUGUUAUUGAGAAAACCAUAAACGAAAGUUACCCUAAUUAUACUUGAAUACACGACAGCUGGGAAGCAAACUAGGAUUAGAUACCCUACUAUGCUCAGCCGUAAACAAUUAAUUUACACCAAUCAGCGCCAGGGAAUUACGAGCCAUGCUUAAAACCCAAAGGACUUGACGGUGUCCCACCCCCCUAGAGGAGCCUGUUCUAUAAUCGAUAAUCCCCGCUAUACCCUACCAUUCCUCGCCUCAGUCUGUAUACCUCCGUCGAAAGCCUACCCUGUGAACGUCCAGUAAGCCCAAUGCCUCAACACGUCAGGUCAAGGUGCAGCUCACGGAAUGGAAAGUAAUGGGCUACAAUUUCUAACAUAGAACAAACGAAAGGCCAUGUGAAACCAUAGUCACGAAGGUGGAUCUAGCAGUAAAAAGAAAAUAGAGUGUCUUUAACCGCCUGACGCUGG
Molecule: ribosomal RNA, 711 nt
Filed under: Amolops mantzorum (Kangting sucker frog)
Lineage: Eukaryota; Metazoa; Chordata; Amphibia; Anura; Ranidae
Description: partial 12S ribosomal RNA
Rfam family: Bacterial small subunit ribosomal RNA
Source: RNAcentral